CCUACGGGUGGCAGCAGUGGGGGAUAUUGCACAAUGGGGGGAACCCUGAUGCAGCGACGCCGCGUGGGUGAAGGAGCGUUUCGGCGCGUAAAGCCCUAUCAGCAGGGAAGAAGAUGACGGUUCCUAACCAAGAAGCCCCUGCUAACUACGGGCCAGCAUCCGCGGUCAUACGUAGGGGGCAAGCGUUCGCCGGAGUUAUGGGGUUUAAAGGUUUCGUAGGCGGACUGUUAAGUCAGCGGUAAAAGCCCGGGGCCAAAGCGCGGCGAGCCUGUGAAACUGGCUGUCUGGAGAUGUCGAGAGGUAGGCGGAAUGCGAAGUGUAGCGGUGAAAUGCUUAGAUAUUGCGAAGAACUCCGAUUGCGAAGGCAGCAUACCGGCGGCGAUCUGACGCUGAGGCACGAAAGCGUGGGUAUCGAACAGGAUUAGAUACCCCAGUAGUC
RNAcentral lists this ribosomal RNA (439 nucleotides) under uncultured bacterium. RNAcentral describes it as "partial 16S ribosomal RNA". It matches the Rfam family "Bacterial small subunit ribosomal RNA", at positions 338 to 795 of the family's 1533-position model. The record is from RNAcentral.